ACGCUCGCUCCAAAAGGUAUAAAUAAGGGUGACUUGGCACAGUCGGUCUUUUCGGAGAAGAUUGUUGUUGGGUGUUCAUGGUGUUUGCCUUCGGUCAAAAUUCCAAAUACCUUGAUUUGGGGGUUCAGUCAAGAUUCCAAAUACCUUGAUUUGGGCCUUCAGUCAAGAUUCCAAUUAACUUGAUUGGGGAGAGAAGAGGAGCCUCACCUUAAUUUUUGGCAGCUGGCAAUGCUUUUUGAGUCCUUUAUUUGAGGGGGAAAGUUUGUAAAGUGAUGUUAUUUUUGGAAGAUUAAUAACUGCCCUUUGGUGUAAAGGGGAAAGAGGAGGACAGAGCUGCAAAUUCUUGGGCAUGGCUUCAGAUCUAUAUUAACUAAUAGACUGAUAGAACGUUCCAAUGGCCAGGUGGCCCACUUAAGUUUAUAAGGAAUUGCAGGAUGCACUUUAAUGUGAGAAGGUUUAUUAAAACAGUAUGGUCCAUGGACCUAGACACCAGAAUUUUUCAGAAUACCUGAGGUAAAAAAAUGGAAAAAAAAGAUGAUACUUGGCCUUUUUAAAUCCUUCAAGUUGGUUUUCUAACUGCACUGCUGAACAGAAAGCAGGAGCCCAUGGGAACCUAGGUGUCUUUAUUAAAGAUCCAUUUUUAAUGUACUUACAAAUUAUAAUAAAGGUGACUAUACAUUA
This is a long non-coding RNA of Phyllostomus hastatus (greater spear-nosed bat), 681 nucleotides long. RefSeq lists it as uncharacterized. The record is from RefSeq and is a predicted model, not a curated record. NCBI's taxonomy places the organism in Eukaryota, Metazoa, Chordata, Mammalia, Chiroptera, Phyllostomidae. The transcript is spliced from 5 exons.